UGAGGAAUAUUGGUCAAUGGGCGAGAGCCUGAACCAGCCAAGUAGCGUGCAGGAUGACGGCCCUAUGGGUUGUAAACUGCUUUUAUGUGGGGAUAAAGUGCGUGACGUGUCAUGCAUUGCAGGUACCACAUGAAUAAGGACCGGCUAAUUCCGUGCCAGCAGCCGCGGUAAUACGGAAGGUCCGGGCGUUAUCCGGAUUUAUUGGGUUUAAAGGGAGCGUAGGCUGUCUAUUAAGCGUGUUGUGAAAUUUACCGGAUCAACCGGUGGCUUGCAGCGCGAACUGGUCGACUUGAGUAUGCAGGAAGUAGGCGGAAUUCAUGGUGUAGAGGUGAAAUGCUUAGAUAUCAUGACGAACUCCGAUUGCGCAGGCAGCUUACUGUAGCAUAACUGACGCUGAUGCUCGAAAGUGCGGGUAUCAAACAGG
Molecule: ribosomal RNA, 424 nt
Filed under: Fusobacteriota bacterium
Lineage: Bacteria; Fusobacteriati; Fusobacteriota
Description: Fusobacteria bacterium partial 16S ribosomal RNA
Rfam family: Bacterial small subunit ribosomal RNA
Source: RNAcentral